This is a long non-coding RNA of Sander lucioperca (pikeperch), 185 nucleotides long. RefSeq lists it as uncharacterized. The record is from RefSeq and is a predicted model, not a curated record. Lineage: Eukaryota; Metazoa; Chordata; Actinopteri; Perciformes; Percidae. The transcript has 3 exons.
AUGAUAUACCCAACCACAAAAAGCCUGGAAGUCGGAAGUUAGAACAGAAAUACAAAGAGGUGUUGUUAUGGAGAUGAUACCCCGUCUCGUCUCGUCGCAUUGGUGUGAACUAGCAGCUUUCAGAACGCUACAGACCGGCUCGUUGCAAGAAGUUGCAAGUAUCAACUCUAACUCUUAACUAGGGC